AUUGAACGCUGGCGGCAGGCCUAACACAUGCGAGUCGAGCGGAUGAAGGGAGCUUGCUCCUGGAUUCAGCGGCGGACGGGUGAGUAAUGCCUAGGAAUCUGCCUGGUAGUGGGGGAUAACGUCCGGAAACGGGCGCUAAUACCGCAUACGUCCUGAGGGAGAAAGUGGGGGAUCUUCGGACCUCACGCUAUCAGAUGAGCCUAGGUCGGAUUAGCUAGUUGGUGGGGUAAAGGCCUACCAAGGCGACGAUCCGUAACUGGUCUGAGAGGAUGAUCAGUCACACUGGAACUGAGACACGGUCCAGACUCCUACGGGAGGCAGCAGUGGGGAAUAUUGGACAAUGGGCGAAAGCCUGAUCCAGCCAUGCCGCGUGUGUGAAGAAGGUCUUCGGAUUGUAAAGCACUUUAAGUUGGGAGGAAGGGCAGUAAGUUAAUACCUUGCUGUUUUGACGUUACCAACAGAGUAAGCACCGGCUAACUUCGUG
RNAcentral lists this ribosomal RNA (484 nucleotides) under uncultured bacterium. Its description in RNAcentral is "partial 16S ribosomal RNA". It matches the Rfam family "Bacterial small subunit ribosomal RNA", at positions 30 to 507 of the family's 1533-position model. The record is from RNAcentral.